Dendrobium catenatum is the source of this 831-nucleotide long non-coding RNA. RefSeq lists it as uncharacterized. NCBI's taxonomy places the organism in Eukaryota, Viridiplantae, Streptophyta, Magnoliopsida, Asparagales, Orchidaceae. The record is from RefSeq and is a predicted model, not a curated record. The transcript has 2 exons.
UCACAUAACGGCUCUUUUGGUUUCUUGUAGAUAAAGACAUGUUUUAACAAUUAAAAUUUUGUCAUCACUUAUUUUAGGUAUGAAGUUGGAUUCUCACUUUUGAAUGAUUUUAAAGGUGGUUAUGACUUUAAAAUCUUUAUCAUUAUUCAUCUACAUCCAAUUAAAUACUGAAAUCUAAUGAAAUUUUUAAUUUUCAGCCCUUAUUUUCUAACUUUAAGAAGCCAAAUGAGGAGCACUAAUUCUCUUCGCAUCUUUCUCUUCACAUGCUCUAAUUGUAGGACCCCGUCACUGGGAGUGCACAUUGUCUAUUAGCUCCCUAUUGGAGCAAGAAACUGGGAAAGCAAAAUCUUAUGGCUUAUCAGGCUUCUCCACGUGGUGGGAUACUGAAACUUCAACUGGAUGAGCAGAACCAGCGAGUUCUCAUUAGUGGUGAAGCAGUAACUGUCAUGACUGGAACUCUUUUUGCAUAGCUAUUUUUUCCAGUUUUUGAUGUUUAAACUUUACUGAGGUAAAUCUAUGAAUCUGUCUGCGUACAGAAAUGCUAUAAUAUUUAUUUUUUGUGGUGUUCCCUUUGCAGCUGUUUGUUUGGGAUAGUUUUCUUACUAUUUUUUAAAACAGUUUUUUAGUAUAAAAAUUUUUUAAAUUAGAAUUUUUUAUAUUAAAAAAUUAUUUUAAAAAAAUUAAAAAAUUUAUCCAAGCGAAGCCCAGAUAAAAAUAAUACAUUUGGUUGUGAGGCUUGGUAUGUGUACAAGUAUAGUGAGCACUGGAUAAAUUGGAAGGGAUCUCUGCUUUAUUGUGGCUAUGUUUGGUAUACUUGUUGGAAUUUCUUUU